CAGUAGCCGCGGGAAUACGAAGGGGGCUAGCGUUGCUCGGAAUGACUGGGCGUAAAGGGCGCGUAGGCGGUCACGAUAGUCAGAUGUGAAAUUCCUGGGCUUAACCUGGGGACUGCAUUUGAUACUGUGUGGCUUGAGUGUGGAAGUGGGUCGUGGAAUUCCCAGUGUAGAGGUGAAAUUCGUAGAUAUUGGGAAGAACACCGGUGGCGAAGGCGGCGACCUGGUCCAUAACUGACGCUGAGGCGCGAAAGCGUGGGGAGCAAACAGGAUUAGAUACCCCCGUAGUCCCUGUCUCUUAUAC
Molecule: ribosomal RNA, 301 nt
Filed under: uncultured bacterium
Lineage: Bacteria
Description: partial 16S ribosomal RNA
Rfam family: Bacterial small subunit ribosomal RNA
Source: RNAcentral